Phascolarctos cinereus (koala) is the source of this 75-nucleotide small nucleolar RNA. Its record names the gene SNORD26. It matches the Rfam family "Small nucleolar RNA SNORD26". From Rfam's summary of the family: U26 is a member of the C/D class of snoRNA which contain the C (UGAUGA) and D (CUGA) box motifs. U26 is encoded within the U22 snoRNA host gene (UHG) in mammals and is thought to act as a 2'-O-ribose methylation guide for ribosomal RNA. NCBI's taxonomy places the organism in Eukaryota, Metazoa, Chordata, Mammalia, Diprotodontia, Phascolarctidae. The record is from Ensembl.
CUACGAGGAUGAUCUGGACUUGGAAUUCUCUCUUUCUGAUGGCUCAGUGGAGAAAGCUAGUGCGUCCUGAGUAGG